CUUCCUGUUUACUAACCGCGGGAUGAUUUGUGUGUGCUUGUUAUAUUAUGGUGAAAGAUAGCCGUGCUUUGAUUCUGCAUGCACAGGGAUCAAAUGAACACCUGGAGAAAAAAGUCAGCUGAACAGAAAGAAAAUGUGAUUUGUGGUGAUGUCUACCUUAGAAGACAGUGUAACUGCCUUAAUCAAACAACUUUGUGUGUUGCAUGCAAAUGACCCACGGAGGGCUUUCCUUAAUCAGCCUACUCAUUCAAAGUCUGAGAUACAGAAACGACUCAAGAGGAAAGCAUAUGAAACAAUAUUUGCCUUUCUUGUUGGACCAAUAAGAUGGCAGUGGCAGAUUUCCUUACAGAACAACCAUGUGGAGGAUGAACGUGUCCAUAUCCUUAGCUAUGCUUUUGACCUGAGAUGUAAGCGACGGUACGAUGAUGCAAAUCGACUCGAAGAAUUGCUGGAAAGUUUGGUUAACAUCAGUAACACUGAUGUCAGUGAGGACAAAAAAGUCUGCACAUCAGAAAAUGAACCUGAUAUGCGAUCCAUCCUUAAAUUCCUGGUGCUGUUGGCCGACACGGGUCCACAAGAGAUCAGAGAUGUCAUGGGGUAUGAGACACAGCAUCUUCCCAAAUCGGUAGACAAGGUGGAGAUGGGAGUGUUACCCUCAGGACCUAUGUUGUAUGGAGAUACCAGUGUCUACAGACCUGACCACAAGUUCUACAUGCACUUCCCAAGUUUGCUGUUUGAAGCAGAACCACUGCAGUUUGAAGAUAAAGGGCUUCAGAUCUUCUGUCUUUCUCCUGGGGAGAGUUUGUCUGGGCAGGGUCUCUUUAAUGUCAAGGGUUACCUGGGUGACAGCUAUGAGAAGCAGUGUAGUGGUACACUGUUUGGCGGACUGGUACAGAGCCAGAUGGUGUCGCUACAGGACAGAUUACAGUUACCCGACUUGGCAGAUCCAGAAGACAGUGGAAUGUUUGAUGUCCGAAUACCCAAAGUUCUGUCUGGCACCAGAAGUCAGUCAACGGUAGAAGAUGACAGUGCUGUCCACAGUUUGGAUAUGACUGGCAGUACCCAGCUACCGCAGCUGGAAGGAUCCAAGUCCCUUAGCUACAUCAGUGACACAGACUCUGCUGUGGGAUGCUCCAUUUGGGAGGAAGCACUUGAAUUCACCCUUAGUAAAUACUUUCAAUGGGAAACACGAGGUCGUGAGCCCGGAACCACACUAGACCUCCCAUACCUAUCUGAGUGCGGGCCCACUGGCCUAGACAUGUGGAACAGCAUGAAGAUGAAGGAACUGUCAAUCAUGUGUCCAUCAGUACCACUACCGACCCUACAUGUAAGGAGUGAGAGGAAUGUUGUCCGAGACAUUAUCAAUGUGAUGAUUGGAAUACCCUCUACCACCUACCAGCUUAUUCCUGAAACUCAAUCCUUUGAGAUGCUGGAAGGGGUCUACAUCAGUGGAAUGACACCAGAGUGUCUUCGUCGAGUCUCGCAUGAUUUUUUGGUGUGUGGUACAUACUACAACCAUCUAGUGCAGUUCUCCUUGCCUCCAUUCGUCGACUCGUUCUACAGCAAGGGUCUUGUGUACCAGGCUUAUUGUGGGGCCAUACGGAAGUACCUCCAGCAUUAUAGAGGUGUAAUACUGUCAAUACCCCAAACCAUGUCGUUAUUGCGUCUCAAGUUUAUCUGCCAGAAAAUCUUCAACCAAAUAAGAUUUCUUGCAAAUUUAUGCAAAUGUACAACUAUGGAGGACCUACUAGAUGAGGACAAUUUCCCAACAGGUGUGAGUCUGCUGAGCUACCUGUAUCGAGAGUGUCUGGAAUGUUCCAGUACUGAUCACUACCCAAUGAUGAUGUCCAUCCUGCAGUCAUCAUCUGGACCCUACACCCUGUUUGUACAGGACUGGGUGUUUCACGGAAUUUGUCAGGACAUCUAUGGAGAGUUCAUGAUAGAAAUCCAUGCAGACUACCUACAAUUCAGAGACAAGAACUACUGGGCGAAUGGUUACAAGAUGAUGACCAAAAAAGAGUCCGAUAGUGUACCACUGUUCCUCGCAGACCUCGCCUCAGAUAUAUUCAUCUGUGGCAAGUCCAUCAAUCUCCUCAAGGCGUGUUGUUCCCAGAAUUUUCUGUGUAACAUAGCUGACAUUGACAUACCCAGGAUAUCGGUCACAUUCUCGGAGGAGGAACUUGGUAAUCUAGAUGGCCAGUGUCAGUUUUAUGUCAACAAAAUGAAGCAAAUAGCACGGCAGUUGACCAUCUCAAGAAAACAGAAGGAAGAGAUGGAAGAGGCUGCAAAGAAAGAUAUGUUACUUAAGGCAAAAGAAGUGGCCACGCAGGAGAUACAGAAACUACAGAGUAGAAUACAGGAGAACCGAAGAGUCCAGGACUCAAAGAAAAGGAAACAGUUCCAGUUCCUUAAGGAUCAGAUGGAAGCAGACUUACAGAGAAGAGCAAAUGUGAAAGAGCAAGUAAAGGAAGAGGACAAGAUGAUGAUAGCUAGGGUGAUGAAGGAGGAGGAUACCAUGACAGCUCAUGAGCUAGAGCUGGAAAGGAAAGCCAGGGAAGAGUUAAUAGAAUACUACAGCAAGCUGAGUGAGGAGGCAACCCUGAGAGAACAGCGGGCAUUGUGGCAUGUCAAACGAGCCCAGUUAGACCAGAGCAGACGUGACUUUCUACAGCGGGAUAGUGUACACUGGCAGGCAGAACUUGAGAAGGCUGCUAUUGUUACGGAAUCCAUUACUGCACAGAAGCCAGAAGAUAUAAGUACAGACACAGCCCUUCUUCCAACCUUGGCAGUGGGAGAAGGGAGAGGCGGACCCACUGUUGUGAGUGAUGAAGGCGACGCCGAUCUCCCUGGAUGGGCACAGCGAGGACUAACAAGUACUAGUACCCUAACUGUUGACUCCAGUAUGCCUGCCUGGGCUCAACAAGAGUUACCAGCGUCAGACACAGAAGGAAGAGAUUUAACCCCAGGGAAGACCAAGUCCCCUCGCCGCUCCCUCCCUUCUCCUCCAUCCCGCCCAGCAGGGCGACCUUCCACACCCACACUGAAAAGACCUCCAACUCCGACCUUAAAAACUGGCAAACGCUUGAGUGAUACAUUUUACGCAACAGCUCAAACUGAAGAAUGUGCUCUUAAAUCAAGUAUUCAUGUUUUCCCAGAAAAACAUGCUACCACAGAAACGGACCCAGAUGACGUACACAAAUCACAAAUUAAGCAGGUGCAAAAUAUCAGUGUUAACAUGGAGAGUGAAGAACAACAGGAGUGCUUACACAUAAGAAUGGCGGACGGAAUGCAUGCCACCAAAGAGACAGAGUCACAUGAGGAAGUGGUGCCCCACAGAAAACCUAACAUGGAAAUGAAUAUCAACAAACAAUCAACAGAGGAGAGGCAGCUUCCUCGCAUGAAGAAAAAUGCAGAAAUGCAUGGUACAAAACAGACAGAAUCAACUGAGUGGCUCAUAAAAAAACCUAGCACUUUUGGUCAGGUGUCAAAAAUGUCUGCUUUGGGGGACGAAUUUGUGAUCCAGGCUCCAAGACUGAAAAAGUUUGAACAUUUUCAUUCUUCUAUGGAAUCCAAAUUCAGCAAAGACUUCGGAAUUAAACCCCGAAUCAGAAUGAGUAAGACCAUGUCCUCAACCACCGAGUCUAAAUAUGUAGAGGACAGUAGGCCCAGAAUCAAGAUGGGUAAAAUGUCUGCCUCAAUGGAGAGCGAAAGGAUUGAUCAUGAUGAAAACAGACUUGAGAAAUUUAAAUCUUUGAAUGUGCAUGGUCAUUCAUCAGACUCAACUGUUCAGAAGCUGUUGUAUGGUGACAGAAAAGCCAUGCAGGAGGUCAAGGAGCAAGAACUUGGUGACAUCAGAGAACCCCCUGUUUGGGCUGACUCACCCGCCACACAAAUGUUCACAUACGAGGACAACUUUGAACACUUAACUAAUACACCUGUGGUCGAUCUUCUCUCAUCAAAGGAAUUGUCUGCAUAUGGCAGGUUUGGUGACUACGGUAUCAGCCAGAGUGCUGACGUGGAUAUGUACCGCUACAUGCCUCUUCCUCAGCUGCUGGAGCGAUCCGUCACUGCACCUCUGUUAGCUCAGAUCUCGCUGGUAAAUGAUAAUGUGAUCAACUACUUCACUGUGGAUAUGGAGAUAAAGAACCACUUCAAGGCUCUCCGACGCUAUCUGUUUAUGGGAGAUGGAGACUUUGCACAAAUCCUUAGUGACAUUCUUCUUGAAAAGCUUGCCAAUAGUCCAAAGGCACAAGAGAUGUUGAACCCCGUAUUUUUGAACAGUGCUCUCAACAAGGCCCUGAAGUCGUCCAUGCAUGCUGAUGAUCCAUUUGCAGACAACCUCAGUUUUGCCUUACGAUACGUCCCUAAAGUCCUGAUGCAGAAUGCCUAUGACACUUUAGACUGUUUAGAGCUACGAUACAAGGUGACCUGGCCACUGAACAUUGUAAUAACCGACUCCUUGAUCAGCAAGUACAGCAAGGUCUUCUCCUUCAUGCUUCAGCUGAAACGCACAGUGUGGGUCCUAAAGGACGUCUGGUACAGACUCAAACGUGAUGCUAUGGUUCACAAGGCGGGAGGCUCCUCACACUUUCGUCAGCUACAGCUCCAUAGGCAGGAGAUGCAGCACUUUGUAAAGGUGAUGCAGGGUUACAUAGCUAACCAGGUAAUACAUGUUACCUGGUGUGAGUUUACCGAGGCACUCAAAAGCGAUGUCCACAACCUUGAUGACCUACAUAAGGUCCACUCCAACUACCUAGAUAAAGCCAUAUUCAGAUGCUUACUGAACAAGAAAGCUGGGGCAGUGAUGAAAAUCAUACAGGACAUCUUUUCUCUUAUCCUGAAAUUCCGAUUACAACUGGUUAAUGCAGAAUGGCAAUAUGAUGAGGAUACAGGAAAUCUAGCUCAUUCUAACUUCCAGAGUAUGGUGGCAUCGUACAAAGCUUUUAGAGAGUACUCAGUCUUUCUUUUCAAGGUCGUUAACAAGCUGGCCAUAAGAGGAUAUCAACCCCAUUUACAGGAACUGUUGUUACGUCUCAACUUCAACGACUAUUACAAGGCACGAUAAAUGUCAAUUACAGGAACUGUUGUUACGUCUCAACAUCAACGACUAUUACAAGGCACAAUAGAUGUCAAUUACAGGAACUGUUGUUACGUCUCAACUUCAACAACUAUUACAAGGCACGAUAGAUGUCAAUUACAGGAACUGUUGUUACGUCUCAACUUCAACGACUAUUACAAGGCACGAUAGAUGUCAAACGUACUAUUACACUUAGUAUAGGACUCCUAUUGAUACACAGUGGUCAAGGAUAGCUGAUCUUGGCGACACAUUUUAUGUCAAAAAAUGAAUAAUAAAGUAAUACAUGUACUCCACAUUGUGAUGCUGUGUGAGUUGAGGACAACUCAACAUUGUGACAAACUGUGGGUCGAGUAAAACUCUGCAUUAAAACCCACUAAGGUUCAAGAAAAACUCUCAGCAUGCAACACCGAGGGUCAAGGACAACUUACCAUGGUGAAAAACAGUGCCUCAAGGAAUUACUGGUAAAGUUCAACUCAUCGAAAUGAUAAAAAGGAGGUCAAGGACAUCUCAGCAUUGUGACACACAAGGUCAAGGACAACUAACUGUAUAGGGAAACACUGAGUGAAAGAAAACCCAUCAUAAAGACAGACUGUCAGUGGUAAAUCAUGACUGUAAUAUACCGAGAUGAAGGAAAACAUACCACCUAUAGCUUAUAGUAUCCUAACCCAUAUGUUUAGGUAUCAAGUUUGAUGGAUUUAAAAGUGGUUUAUGUUCCUGGAUUGAGUGCUAUGUGGAAAUAAUAACAUCUGAAGCUGAUGAAAGAACAGUUUCUCUCAUAUGCAGUCACUUAAUAUUGAUGUUGAUGAAGCAACCUAACUUGUAAACUUUCCAUAAACUGUGAUAGCUCCAGCCAUUUAACAUGUUGAACUGUCAAUAUAUAUGGCGUGGAGAAAAUUUAUGCAAAAUGUUAUAGAAGAAUGCAUUUAGAUUUAAUAAAUAAAAUAGAUAUAUGUUU
RNAcentral lists this unclassified non-coding RNA (6032 nucleotides) under Mizuhopecten yessoensis (Yesso scallop). Its description in RNAcentral is "gamma-tubulin complex component 6-like, transcript variant X3". Lineage: Eukaryota; Metazoa; Mollusca; Bivalvia; Pectinida; Pectinidae. The record is from RNAcentral.